CGCCUUUCUCCUGAGGCGACGAGCGCCUCGCACCGCGCACCCGCCCAUUCACCUGACCGAGGCCACGAGCUCCAGCCUCCGCCACCUCUGAGCCCCUAAACGCCUGCGGGGGCGCGCGCGCUCAAACGGAGGGGGCGGGGCUCCGCCUGUGGUGCCCGGAAAAGGCGGGAAAGGUCCCCAUUGGCUGAGAGUCUGCAAGCCGCCGGCCCCACCCGCCGGCUUCCUCCCGGCUCUAACAGGCCCCCUCCCCGUCCCCCGGCUUCCCUUCAGGCACCUUUCGCCAAAAGGGAUGAUGGCCCCGCGGCGGUUCUCGGAGGCUAACGCCCUGUGGAGGAAGGAUCCAGAAGGAUUUCUCGCUUCUCCUAGGGCGAGCAUAACUUUUCCCCACCAGAAAAAGCCUGGAAUCUGAGCCGGUUUCUUAUGAGGCAGCCUCCAGGAAAGGAAUUCGCAAAACAGCACCAAAGGGCUUCAAGCAAAGGAAUGGUAACAGCUUCAAGAUUACCGUAUUUCUCCAAGUUUAAGAUGCUGCGAGUUAUAAGAUGCAUCAUUUUUAAAUAUACCACUGAGAAAAAACAGUUGCCAAAGAAAGAUGUGUCAUCGGUUAUAAGCCUUUUUUUAUUUUUUUUCCUUUUUGUAAGUAAUCUCUACACCCAACAUAGGGCUUGAAUUCAUGAC
Molecule: long non-coding RNA, 675 nt
Organism: Mustela erminea (ermine)
Lineage: Eukaryota; Metazoa; Chordata; Mammalia; Carnivora; Mustelidae
Exons: 3
Source: RefSeq, a predicted model, not a curated record